AACGCACCUUGCACUCUUUGGUAUUCCGAAGAGUAUGUCUGUUUGAGCGUCAUGAAACUCUCAACCCCCCUGUUUUGUAAUGAAACGGGCGUGGGCUUGGAUUAUGGCUGUUUGUCGGCGUCAUUGCCGGCUCAGCUGAAAUACACGAGCAACCCAUUUGAAAUAGGCGGUUUGACUCGGCGUAAUAAUUAUUUCGCUGAGGACGUCUUCUUUAAAGUCAGCGGUGCUUCUAAUGCGCUUUUAAUUAAGCAUCUUAAGCUUUAGACCUCAAAUCAGUCAGGACUACCCGCUGAACUUAA
RNAcentral lists this unclassified non-coding RNA (299 nucleotides) under uncultured Occultifur. Its description in RNAcentral is "sequence contains ITS2". The record is from RNAcentral. Lineage: Eukaryota; Fungi; Basidiomycota; Cystobasidiomycetes; Erythrobasidiales; Erythrobasidiaceae.